GACGAACGCUGGCGGCGUGCCUAAUACAUGCAAGUCGAACGCACUCUCGUUUAGAUUGAAGGAGCUUGCUCCUGAUUGAUAAACAUUUGAGUGAGUGGCGGACGGGUGAGUAACACGUGGGUAACCUGCCCUAAAGUGGGGGAUAACAUUUGGAAACAGAUGCUAAUACCGCAUAAAACCUAAACACCGCAUGGUGUAGGGUUGAAAGAUGGUUUCGGCUAUCACUUUAGGAUGGACCCGCGGUGCAUUAGUUAGUUGGUGAGGUAAAGGCUCACCAAGACCGUGAUGCAUAGCCGACCUGAGAGGUAAUCGGCCACACUGGGACUGAGACACGGCCCAGACUCCUACGGGACGGCAGGCCAGUAGGGAAUCUU
This 374-nucleotide ribosomal RNA is filed under the name uncultured bacterium. Its description in RNAcentral is "bacterial SSU rRNA". It matches the Rfam family "Bacterial small subunit ribosomal RNA", at positions 28 to 365 of the family's 1533-position model. The record is from RNAcentral.